This 20-nucleotide ribosomal RNA is filed under the name Cladophialophora sp. 97004a. RNAcentral describes it as "partial 18S ribosomal RNA". The record is from RNAcentral. Lineage: Eukaryota; Fungi; Ascomycota; Eurotiomycetes; Chaetothyriales; Herpotrichiellaceae.
GUGACCUGCGGAGGWCAUUA